RNAcentral lists this ribosomal RNA (301 nucleotides) under uncultured bacterium. RNAcentral's name for it is "partial 16S ribosomal RNA". It matches the Rfam family "Bacterial small subunit ribosomal RNA", at positions 509 to 807 of the family's 1533-position model. The record is from RNAcentral.
CAGUAGCCGCGGGAAUACGAAGGGUGCAAGCGUUACUCGGAAUUACUGGGCGUAAAGCGUGCGUAGGUGGUGGUUUAAGUCCGUUGUGAAAGCCCUGGGCUCAACCUGGGAAUUGCAGUGGAUACUGGGUCACUAGAGUGUGGUAGAGGAUAGUGGAAUUUCCGGUGUAGCAGUGAAAUGCGUAGAGAUCGGAAGGAACAUCUGUGGCGAAGGCGACUAUCUGGGCCAACACUGACACUGAGGCAUGAAAGCGUGGGGAGCAAACAGGAUUAGAGACCCCGGUAGUCCCUGUCUCUUAUAC